Molecule: unclassified non-coding RNA, 3742 nt
Organism: Orbicella faveolata
Lineage: Eukaryota; Metazoa; Cnidaria; Anthozoa; Scleractinia; Merulinidae
Source: RefSeq, a predicted model, not a curated record
CGCGUCACGCACGACGGACUAAGUGAAAGAGGGACUACUCGUAGUCUAUAUUAAUACAAGCUCUAACGACACAACAAUAAUACGGAAAUUCAACUACACCGCCUUAUUUAUGCGCCAUUAUAUUUAUUCAAGUAAGUUAAGUAGCCUGCAAUCUCCAUUGAGGAGUUUAUCAGUGAGCUACUCAUUAAAUACAAUCUUGAAAAUUUGUCUUAAUUAAGUGUGUUUUUGAAAAGUAUUUCCGUUUUUCGUCAAAGACAAUAUAUAGCACAUCCCCCCACCAAAAAAAAAAAAAAGAAAAAGAAAAAAUAAAAUAAGCUGCAUUUUCAAAUUCCUGACGGGGCCGAAGACGUACCAUUAAUUUAUCAUGUUGAAGGACUGUGAUUCAGUUGAAUAUCGUAUUUUAAAAAACAUGAGCCGCGACGGCUAAUUUUUCGAAUUUUCUUCUGGAAUUGAUCGCCGGCGUUACACUUCUAGUUUGAGUAGAGUCUUAGACCGAUCGACUUACUGAAUGAUAGGUAAUUGCGAAAUUCAAAGGUAAAAUUUUAGACCAUUUUUUUCAGCCGUCGUCCUUGGAGUCGCAGUCGUCAUUGCUUGAACUCUUCAUUAUUUCAAACUUGGAUACUUUUUCCUCAACUACUCUGUUUGCAAAAACACUCGUGCAGCCCUUCUCCCUCAUGUAAAACCAAGCCAUCUUACACACACUUACAGAAGCAAUUCCUUCCUUCAAUACAGAAAUCUAUUAAUCACUAUGAAACUUCAAAACGCAAAACAAGAUAGCAUUUCGCCUGGUUGGCACUUGCCGGAAGGUAUAACUAGUUCUAUACGGAGAGGUGUUCGUGCAAAAAUCUUCUCAAUGCAGAGUAUUUCUGCGUUGACAGAUUGAGUACUUGCGUCAUAAAUGCAAAGAACAAAGGGGAAACAUUGCCAAAAGAAUUUAUACGAGGAAGUCGUUUCACCUUCAGGUCGAAUAUAACUUGACCUCAUGUUAGCUACGAAUGCGAAAGCCUUAUAGAGCGUAUUCACAAAAGGUCUAACUGGAAGCGAAGGAAGGAGUGAAGGAAGAAUCGAGUGAAUCUCCCAUCUAUACCUAUAUUAUUUUCCAUGUUAAAAAUCGGAAUGGAAAUGAGAUUUGCGCAAAUUUUAGGCUGGGAAAUGGGAUUUACUCUCCCCCCGUCCCUUCUCAUAGUAUGCCGGAUCGUCUGCUUUGUUUAUAAUUCUGCCGUAUCAACAGAUUGCAGCACGUCUGAAAUUCGGAAGACGCGUGCAAAAGUUUACACGUAAACUAACAGUUCAGCCAUCCACCUAUUGGGGACUGUGAGAAACAGAAAUUAUAUUCAUUAUGAUACUUUCAAAUUGUUACUUUCAUGACAACAGGUUACGAAAUCCUUAUCUUCUGAUCAAUGAGUGGGCUCUCGUUUCUCGUUCAUCCCUCGACUACAAGUCAUUCAAGGUUCAGCCAGUUCGGAAUUCGCUUUACUCGCACAAUUCUACUUUCAGUUUCAGUUGAUUUACAAUUUGCGUUAAGAACAUUACCAAACGAAACGAGAGAAACUGUAGAAUGUCCUGACAGUUUUAAAACAUGGCCCGAUUGUAAGUAUGUACAAGUUAUACUGGAUAUAUCAAUAUCCCAACAUGGCUCCAAGCCUUCAGGACAAACUUUUAUAUUUGGCGGUGUUUUCUUUGUAUCCAAGUCUCUUCUGGGAAUUGAGGGACGAAGGGAACUUCACAAAGUGCAAUUUUGUCCUGAAAGCCACGGAGCAUAGAAUAUCGACAUAUUGAACGUGGACUUGCAGUUGUCGCUAAAGCGCUAUUUAAUAGCAAGUCGAUUUUGUCGCACAAUUUAUGUUUGGUGAUUUCUCUGAUCCACAGCACACAAAAUUAAGUGUGAUUUGCUGCAUUAGUAGAAGAGCAGCAGGGAACCAAGAAAGAAAAAAAAACCAUGCCUUGUCAUCUUGCUGGAUCUGCGAUUGCACAGGGUCCCAAUGUUGGUCUAAUUGACAAGUGGUCAGAUUGGAACCCAGAUUCUAUUAAGACCAAAUGGUUGCUAUUGUCAGGCGCUUCAGAUCCUCCAGACAACAUUGCUAUCUCUGAUAGAAGGACCAGGGACACUCAUGGAGUCAAAGGCGGGACAUUUCGUUCUGCUGUUGCUCAUGACUUGGCCAACAUGGAAGCUGCAGUUGGAGCUAAGUUGUUUAAAACUGUUAAAGAUAUUUGUCUAACUAAUUCCGCAGCCACUGGUCAUAUUCGGAAACUUUUUGAUACGUGCAAAUGUGACCGGGUUAAACCUAUCUUGUACUACACUGGGCAUGGAGAAAUUGGGACUGGAAACUGGUGCUUUGCUAAUGGGACAAUCAGUAUUCAAGGAAUUCUUAAUAUGAGUCCUGAAGGAACUCACUACCCAAUGAUUUUCAGCGAUGCUUGCUACAGUGGCCAUUGGGCAAAUUUCUGUCUGAAAAAGAACAUCCCGGGAUUCCACUGUCUGGCAGCAUGUCCGGAGUAUUCUAAAGCUGUUGAUACCAAAGGCGAAGGUGGGGAUUUGACUUUGUUCAUCACCGGAAAACUACCACGUCCAAGAACUGAACCUAUUUACAGUAGAAGGAACAGGAACGACUUUCCGAUUACCACUGGAUAUGACUCCGUUGAGUACACUGAUUUUAUCGGUAGCCAUUUGCUCAGUUCUGAAGAUAUUUUGAUCAGCCAAAGUUUCCACAAUGGAUGCUUUAGUGGUAUUUUUGCAGCUUCAAAAAUGUACACUCCCAGGCCCGCCGUUUCCUGGGAAAUUCGAUCUAACUAUGACUCUUUCUUCGAGUUGGUCAACGAAAAUUGGAAUCGGAUGAAUCGAAAGUCCAAACAGAUAUAUUCUCUCGCCUGCGAUGAAAAGUUGGGAUUUGGAGUACUUUUCUUGGCAAAUUAUGGCGUGGAUCAAACAAUUUUGACGAACACAUCAGAUAUAGGGAAGAAAGAGAAAGAUGGUUUUCAGAUCACUGCUUGUGCUGCCCAGGGUUCAACAUUCUAUAUCGUCAUGACAAAGGACACAAGAGAAUACCAAGGGAAACAGGCAUGGUUCACUUUGAAUUCAUGGGACGAGGCUAAAAAUGUAAUCCAGGAGAACCAGGAUAAGGGAAGAGUUGUAACAGGGAUAUGCUACUCCACUGGCCAGAUGAAGUAUCUUGUUGUCGUGAUGGAGACAACACAGGACCAGAUUUACAGGAAGUUUCGUCGUGUAACUGACUUGGACAAUUGGGUGAAAGAACAAUAUAAAGAGGGAUUUCAUCCUACCAUUAUCUUCAAGGAUCCAGCUGAUACCAAAACCUUAGUCGUGAUGAUUAAAGAUGGAAACAGGUCGUGUUAUACAUGUAAAUAUGAUUGUAAGGUGGUCCAUUAAUUAGGCGUCACAAAAUAUUCUCGUGGGAUGUUUUUCAAAAAAAAAAAAAAAAAAAAUUCUAGAAUGUAUAUUGAACUUACGUGAAACCUGAUUGGCUCACGAAAUAGCCCAAGUUUUAGAAGUCACACUAAAACUGAGUGCUAACCCGGUGAUUUGGACGCCCCCUUUCAUAGGUUUAGUGCACCAUGUAGUAAUUUUCAACAAAAGCAAGGACUAAAAGCAGACUAUUGUAUUUAGGUUUCCAUCACUAAAAAUGUAUUUUAGGUUUUGACUGUUCGACGUCAUACUCUCAUAGUGCCCCUUUCAUUGUAGUACGCACAAUUUCCCCAAUCUGGUAAAUAAAAUGUCAACAGAACA